GAACUAUACUGGCAAGGGAGAUACCAUGAUCGCCUAGGUGGUUUUCCCAGGGUGAAGUUUAUCCAUUGCACUCUGGAUGUGCUGACCCUGGUGAUUUCUCCAAAUGUGGGAAGCUCGACUGCUUAAUUUGUGGUAGUAGGAGACUGCGUUUGCGCUUUCCCCUG
Small nuclear RNA from Ochotona princeps (American pika), 164 nucleotides. Its record names the gene U1. It matches the Rfam family "U1 spliceosomal RNA". From Rfam's summary of the family: U1 is a small nuclear RNA (snRNA) component of the spliceosome (involved in pre-mRNA splicing). Its 5' end forms complementary base pairs with the 5' splice junction, thus defining the 5' donor site of an intron. NCBI's taxonomy places the organism in Eukaryota, Metazoa, Chordata, Mammalia, Lagomorpha, Ochotonidae. The record is from Ensembl.